RNAcentral lists this ribosomal RNA (253 nucleotides) under uncultured bacterium. RNAcentral's name for it is "partial 16S ribosomal RNA". It matches the Rfam family "Bacterial small subunit ribosomal RNA", at positions 524 to 776 of the family's 1533-position model. The record is from RNAcentral.
UACGGAGGGUGCAAGCGUUGUCCGGAUUUAUUGGGUUUAAAGGGUGCGUAGGCGGCCCGUUAAGUCAGUGGUGAAAGCCUCCAGCUCAACUGGAGAACUGCCAUUGAUACUGACGGGCUUGAGUACAGACGAGGUAGGCGGAAUUGAUUGUGUAGCGGUGAAAUGCAUAGAUACAAUCAAGAACUCCGAUUGCGUAGGCAGCUUACUAGGCUGUAACUGACGCUGAGGCACGAAAGCGUGGGGAGCGAGCAGG